AUGCAAGUCGAGGGGCAGCACAGUGUAGCAAUACAUAGGUGGCGACCGGCGCACGGGUGAGUAACGCGUAUGCAACCUGCCUACAACAGGGGGAUAACCCGGAGAAAUCCGGACUAAUACCGCAUAAAACAGGGGUCCCGCAUGGGAGUAUUUGUUAAAGAUUUAUCGGUUGUAGAUGGGCAUGCGUUCCAUUAGUUAGUUGGUGAGGUAACGGCUCACCAAGACGUCGAUGGAUAGGGGAACUGAGAGGUUUGUCCCCCACACUGGAACUGAGACACGGACCAGACUCCUACGGGAGGCAGCAGUGAGGAAUAUUGGUCAAUGGGCGAGAGCCUGAACCAGCCAAGUCGCGUGAAGGAAGACUGCCUUAUGGGUUGUAAACUUCUUUUAUACAGGAAUAAAAAGGCUUACGUGUAGGCCAUUGCAAGUACUGUAUGAAUAAGCAUCGGCUAACUCCGUGCCAGCAGCCGCGGUAAUACGGAGGAUGCGAGCGUUAUCCGGAUUUAUUGGGUUUAAAGGGUGCGCAGGCGGGCUUUUAAGUCAGCGGUGAAAUCUGGACGCUUAACGUCCAAACUGCCGUUGAAACUGGGAGUCUUGAGUAUGGAUGAAGUAGGCGGAAUUCGUUGUGUAGCGGUGACAUGCAUAGAUAUAACGAGGAACUCCGAUUGCGUAGGCAGCUUACUAAGCCAUAACUGACGCUCAUGCACGAAAGCGUGG
Molecule: ribosomal RNA, 717 nt
Filed under: uncultured bacterium
Lineage: Bacteria
Description: bacterial SSU rRNA
Rfam family: Bacterial small subunit ribosomal RNA
Source: RNAcentral